GAAAAACGUUUUACAUCGGCGCGCCGGCCGAACGCUGGGCUGGUUGCGCUGGCUCGCUCCUUACAUACUCGCGUCAAACACACAUGCAUGACUCAGUGCAAGCCACACAACUCAGCAGGGCCCACUCAACGCCCAUUUUCUUCCUUAUCGUCACGCGGAGCACCACAACCGCCAAUUCCCUAUCUCUUCCUCCCCGUUUCUCAUCUCCAGCUGGCUCACGCCCAACCGCGCUUCCAUCUCCCCUCUCCACUCCGGCCAGAUGUUGGCUUCCAUCUCAACCUCUCCGGCCAGAUGCCGCGACCCCUUGAAAUUUCUGUUGCCCAAGCCCAGCUGCCACCAGGGCACUGUUGCGGGGACCAACCUGCGGAGGCAGACAAGAUGUUGAUGAUGGCCAUGAGCACUGCGGCUGCUGCGUCAGUAGCAUUCAUGGGAGCGGUCGGUUGAGCAUAUCCUCACCGACGGUGCUUCAAUCGGCAUGGCAGUCUGCUACAAGCGAUGAGGAUUUUUGCUACCACCGGCAUCGAGUCAUGCUGGAACCGGAGUCUCGGCCUCGCCAUGGCUGACGACCGCAGCGUGGAAGCUUUGCCCUGUUUUUGCUUCAACCGGCAAAGUGGGGAGCUACAACUAGCACCGCAUGGUGCUGGGACCAGCUACUACUUUGCGCCGGCGAUGGCAUAGCUGCAACCAGCGGGGACCAUUCCAUGGCGGUGGUGACAACGCCACCGACGGAGGUGCUGCAUCGGCAACACUGGGACUAGUUUUUUUUUCUGCAACCAGUCUUAGUUUUUGCUACUACCGUGUUCGUAUUUUGCUGGAACCAACCCAAUUUUGCUACCACCAUCUUGCUUUUGCUGGAACCGGCGUCUCAUUUUGCUUCCAUCAUGUUGUGUUUUUGUUGGAAUAGUUGUCUCAUCUUUUUGCUUCCACCGUGUGUUUAUAUGGCCGGGACGGGCACAAGUUUUUGCUACCACCGCUUUUUGGCUGCGAGCGACGUCGUCGCUCCAUUUGAUGCUACAACCGGCGAUAAGAUCGGUCCGCAAGGGAGACUACUGGCGACGAGAAUGGCCGGCGAGGGCGGCGACCGGAGAGCAUGUGCAGCCAACGAGACAAAAAGGAGGGACGAGAUGCAGAGAAUCUUUCCAUAUGCGCGGAAGCGGAAGGAAACAAUUUUUUUUUGUUCGCAUGGACUUUUCUUUUGCUGCAUGCUGUUAGGGCAUCUCUAAUGGUUGUAAGAUAGUUGUUGGUAGGCUUUGCCACGUAGGAUUUUCGAUGAUGUGUCAUACAAUAAAUAAAAAAAAAGUGGAAGGUUGUAUGUACAUGAACCAACACCCCUUGCACAAGCUUCAAUGUAGAAUGAGAGAGCACCUUAUUUAUUAUCUCAC
Molecule: ribosomal RNA, 1382 nt
Filed under: Triticum aestivum (bread wheat)
Lineage: Eukaryota; Viridiplantae; Streptophyta; Magnoliopsida; Poales; Poaceae
Description: partial small subunit ribosomal RNA
Source: RNAcentral